RNAcentral lists this ribosomal RNA (497 nucleotides) under uncultured bacterium. RNAcentral's name for it is "partial 16S ribosomal RNA". It matches the Rfam family "Bacterial small subunit ribosomal RNA", at positions 28 to 507 of the family's 1533-position model. The record is from RNAcentral.
GAUGAACGCUGGCGGCGUGCCUAAUACAUGCAAGUCGAGCGAACGGACGAGAAGCUUGCUUCUCUGAUGUUAGCGGCGGACGGGUGAGUAACACGUGGAUAACCUACCUAUAAGACUGGUAUAACUUCGGGAAACCGGCGCUAAUACCGGAUAAUAUUUUGAACCGCAUGGUUCAAAAGUGAAAGACGGUCUUGCUGUCACUUAUAGAUGUAUCCGCGCUGCAUUAGCUAGUUGGUAAGGUAACGGCUUACCAAGGCAACGAUGCAUAGCCGACCUGAGAGGGUGAUCGGCCACACGGGAACUGAGACACGGUCCAGACUCCUGCGGGAGGCAGCAGUAGGGAAUCUUCCGCAAGGGGCGAAAGCCUGACGGAGCAACGCCGCGUGAGUGAUGAAGGUCUUCGGAGCGUAAAACUCUGUUAUUAGGGAAGAACAUAUGUGUAAGUAACUGGGCACAUCGUGACGGUACCUAAUCAGAAAGCCACGGCUAACUACGUG